GAUGAAGAACGUAGCAAAAUGCGAUAAGUAAUGUGAAUUGCAGAAUUCAGUGAAUCAUCGAAUCUUUGAACGCACAUUGCGCCCGCCAGUAUUCUGGCGGGCAUGCCUGUUCGAGCGUCAUUUCAACCCUCAAGCACAGCUUGGUGUUGCGACUCGCGUUAAUUCGCGUUCCCCAAAUUGAUUGGCGGUCACGUCGAGCUUCCAUAGCGUAGUAGUAAAACCCUCGUUACUGGUAAUCGUCGCGGCCACGCCGUUAAACCCCAACUUCUGAAUGUUGACCUCUGAUCAGGUAGGAAUACCCGCUGAACUUAAGCAUAUCAAUAAGCGGAGGA
This 332-nucleotide unclassified non-coding RNA is filed under the name soil metagenome. RNAcentral describes it as "partial contains 5.8S ribosomal RNA, internal transcribed spacer 2, and large subunit ribosomal RNA". The stretch from base 1 to 120 matches the Rfam family "5.8S ribosomal RNA", at positions 35 to 154 of the family's 154-position model. The record is from RNAcentral.